RNAcentral lists this non-coding RNA (25 nucleotides) under Mus musculus (house mouse). The record is from RNAcentral. Lineage: Eukaryota; Metazoa; Chordata; Mammalia; Rodentia; Muridae.
UUGGAUAACGAUGGCCUUUGUUCUA